Molecule: ribosomal RNA, 2931 nt
Filed under: Escherichia coli
Lineage: Bacteria; Pseudomonadati; Pseudomonadota; Gammaproteobacteria; Enterobacterales; Enterobacteriaceae
Description: 23S ribosomal RNA
Rfam family: Bacterial large subunit ribosomal RNA
Source: RNAcentral
GGGUUGUGAGGUUAAGCGACUAAGCGUACACGGUGGAUGCCCUGGCAGUCAGAGGCGAUGAAGGACGUGCUAAUCUGCGAUAAGCGUCGGUAAGGUGAUAUGAACCGUUAUAACCGGCGAUUUCCGAAUGGGGAAACCCAGUGUGAUUCGUCACACUAUCAUUAACUGAAUCCAUAGGUUAAUGAGGCGAACCGGGGGAACUGAAACAUCUAAGUACCCCGAGGAAAAGAAAUCAACCGAGAUUCCCCCAGUAGCGGCGAGCGAACGGGGAGCAGCCCAGAGCCUGAAUCAGUGUGUGUGUUAGUGGAAGCGUCUGGAAAGGCGUGCGAUACAGGGUGACAGCCCCGUACACAAAAAUGCACAUGCUGUGAGCUCGAUGAGUAGGGCGGGACACGUGGUAUCCUGUCUGAAUAUGGGGGGACCAUCCUCCAAGGCUAAAUACUCCUGACUGACCGAUAGUGAACCAGUACCGUGAGGGAAAGGCGAAAAGAACCCCGGCGAGGGGAGUGAAAAAGAACCUGAAACCGUGUACGUACAAGCAGUGGGAGCACGCUUAGGCGUGUGACUGCGUACCUUUUGUAUAAUGGGUCAGCGACUUAUAUUCUGUAGCAAGGUUAACCGAAUAGGGGAGCCGAAGGGAAACCGAGUCUUAACUGGGCGUUAAGUUGCAGGGUAUAGACCCGAAACCCGGUGAUCUAGCCAUGGGCAGGUUGAAGGUUGGGUAACACUAACUGGAGGACCGAACCGACUAAUGUUGAAAAAUUAGCGGAUGACUUGUGGCUGGGGGUGAAAGGCCAAUCAAACCGGGAGAUAGCUGGUUCUCCCCGAAAGCUAUUUAGGUAGCGCCUCGUGAAUUCAUCUCCGGGGGUAGAGCACUGUUUCGGCAAGGGGGUCAUCCCGACUUACCAACCCGAUGCAAACUGCGAAUACCGGAGAAUGUUAUCACGGGAGACACACGGCGGGUGCUAACGUCCGUCGUGAAGAGGGAAACAACCCAGACCGCCAGCUAAGGUCCCAAAGUCAUGGUUAAGUGGGAAACGAUGUGGGAAGGCCCAGACAGCCAGGAUGUUGGCUUAGAAGCAGCCAUCAUUUAAAGAAAGCGUAAUAGCUCACUGGUCGAGUCGGCCUGCGCGGAAGAUGUAACGGGGCUAAACCAUGCACCGAAGCUGCGGCAGCGACGCUUAUGCGUUGUUGGGUAGGGGAGCGUUCUGUAAGCCUGCGAAGGUGUGCUGUGAGGCAUGCUGGAGGUAUCAGAAGUGCGAAUGCUGACAUAAGUAACGAUAAAGCGGGUGAAAAGCCCGCUCGCCGGAAGACCAAGGGUUCCUGUCCAACGUUAAUCGGGGCAGGGUGAGUCGACCCCUAAGGCGAGGCCGAAAGGCGUAGUCGAUGGGAAACAGGUUAAUAUUCCUGUACUUGGUGUUACUGCGAAGGGGGGACGGAGAAGGCUAUGUUGGCCGGGCGACGGUUGUCCCGGUUUAAGCGUGUAGGCUGGUUUUCCAGGCAAAUCCGGAAAACUAAGGCUGAGGCGUGAUGACGAGGCACUACGGUGCUGAAGCAACAAAUGCCCUGCUUCCAGGAAAAGCCUCUAAGCAUCAGGUAACAUCAAAUCGUACCCCAAACCGACACAGGUGGUCAGGUAGAGAAUACCAAGGCGCUUGAGAGAACUCGGGUGAAGGAACUAGGCAAAAUGGUGCCGUAACUUCGGGAGAAGGCACGCUGAUAUGUAGGUGAAGCGACUUGCUCGUGGAGCUGAAAUCAGUCGAAGAUACCAGCUGGCUGCAACUGUUUAUUAAAAACACAGCACUGUGCAAACACGAAAGUGGACGUAUACGGUGUGACGCCUGCCCGGUGCCGGAAGGUUAAUUGAUGGGGUCAGCGCAAGCGAAGCUCUUGAUCGAAGCCCCGGUAAACGGCGGCCGUAACUAUAACGGUCCUAAGGUAGCGAAAUUCCUUGUCGGGUAAGUUCCGACCUGCACGAAUGGCGUAAUGAUGGCCAGGCUGUCUCCACCCGAGACUCAGUGAAAUUGAACUCGCUGUGAAGAUGCAGUGUACCCGCGGCAAGACGGAAAGACCCCGUGAACCUUUACUAUAGCUUGACACUGAACAUUGAGCCUUGAUGUGUAGGAUAGGUGGGAGGCUUUGAAGUGUGGACGCCAGUCUGCAUGGAGCCGACCUUGAAAUACCACCCUUUAAUGUUUGAUGUUCUAACGUUGACCCGUGAUCCGGGUUGCGGACAGUGUCUGGUGGGUAGUUUGACUGGGGCGGUCUCCUCCUAAAGAGUAACGGAGGAGCACGAAGGUUGGCUAAUCCUGGUCGGACAUCAGGAGGUUAGUGCAAUGGCAUAAGCCAGCUUGACUGCGAGCGUGACGGCGCGAGCAGGUGCGAAAGCAGGUCAUAGUGAUCCGGUGGUUCUGAAUGGAAGGGCCAUCGCUCAACGGAUAAAAGGUACUCCGGGGAUAACAGGCUGAUACCGCCCAAGAGUUCAUAUCGACGGCGGUGUUUGGCACCUCGAUGUCGGCUCAUCACAUCCUGGGGCUGAAGUAGGUCCCAAGGGUAUGGCUGUUCGCCAUUUAAAGUGGUACGCGAGCUGGGUUUAGAACGUCGUGAGACAGUUCGGUCCCUAUCUGCCGUGGGCGCUGGAGAACUGAGGGGGGCUGCUCCUAGUACGAGAGGACCGGAGUGGACGCAUCACUGGUGUUCGGGUUGUCAUGCCAAUGGCACUGCCCGGUAGCUAAAUGCGGAAGAGAUAAGUGCUGAAAGCAUCUAAGCACGAAACUUGCCCCGAGAUGAGUUCUCCCUGACUCCUUGAGAGUCCUGAAGGAACGUUGAAGACGACGACGUUGAUAGGCCGGGUGUGUAAGCGCAGCGAUGCGUUGAGCUAACCGGUACUAAUGAACCGUGAGGCUUAACCUUACAACGCCGAAGGUGUUU